CCUACGGGAGGCAGCAGUGGGGGAUAUUGCACAAUGGGCGCAAGCCUGAUGCAGCGACGCCGCGUGAGCGAAGAAGUAUUUCGGUAUGUAAAGCUCUAUCAGCAGGGAAGAAAAUGACGGUACCUGACUAAGAAGCUCCGGCUAAAUACGUGCCAGCAGCCGCGGUAAUACGUAUGGAGCAAGCGUUAAUCGGAAUUACUGGGCGUAAAGCGCUCGUAGGCGGUAUGUCAAGUCAAGGGUGAAAUCCCCGCGCUCAACGUGGGAACUGCCUUUGAAACUGGCAAACUGGAGUGUGUGAGAGGAUAGUGGAAUUCCAGGUGUAGGAGUGAAAUCCGUAGAUAUCUGGAGGAACAUCAGUGGCGAAGGCGACUAUCUGGCACAUAACUGACGCUGAGGAGCGAAAGCGUGGGUAGCAAACAGGAUUAGAUACCCGAGUAGUC
Molecule: ribosomal RNA, 440 nt
Filed under: uncultured bacterium
Lineage: Bacteria
Description: partial 16S ribosomal RNA
Rfam family: Bacterial small subunit ribosomal RNA
Source: RNAcentral